CUGUGACUGUGACUGGCGCAUAGUUUAAUUUGGAAAACUGCUUUGUAAUUGCUAUGCAAAAUUAACAUAAUUGAUGUGCGUGCCCCAUGCCAUGCCCCAUAGACAGACAUCAGAUGCUAAUCCUACCCAUUUCCAGCUAACAGUAAAAGUAUCGUCUUCCUUCCCUCUCGCUCUGUUGCUGGAUACAUUGAUUGGCGGACAAAGGCUCAGCAGGUGGCAGAUACAAGACCCAGACGCAGUGGCCCCAGGAGCAGCG
Molecule: long non-coding RNA, 256 nt
Filed under: Drosophila guanche
Lineage: Eukaryota; Metazoa; Arthropoda; Insecta; Diptera; Drosophilidae
Source: RNAcentral